CAUCGCAAGGUGAAAUCUGAAGGAAGCUGGCGGCAAACAUCUGACCUGACGAACAGGAACUUCAUAUAAGGCAUUUAACCAUGGAUAAGAUUGCAAAGCAAAUCAAAGUCCCAUAGCUAUUCGGAAUGGUUGGUGUAAAUGAAGUGGGUAUAAGAUGAAA
This 160-nucleotide non-coding RNA is filed under the name Segatella hominis. Lineage: Bacteria; Pseudomonadati; Bacteroidota; Bacteroidia; Bacteroidales; Prevotellaceae. The record is from RNAcentral.